RNAcentral lists this long non-coding RNA (5314 nucleotides) under Helianthus annuus (common sunflower). Its description in RNAcentral is "hypothetical non coding rna". The record is from RNAcentral. Lineage: Eukaryota; Viridiplantae; Streptophyta; Magnoliopsida; Asterales; Asteraceae.
UAUCUGUUAUUUAGAACUUAUCAGAUUCAAACAAAACAUGUUGACCACUUUACAGUUUACACACAUAAUUGACCCUAUCUAUCUACAAGUUAUCUUAGACCAUAUAUAUUAAUCUUGCUACCCCAUCAAUAUCAAAAUUCAAAACUCCCACCUAAUUUAAGCCACUAGAUUCAUUCUUCAUCCUUUCAUUGCAUCUUCUUUCUUAAAAAAAAAACAACUUUCAAAAUGCAAAGAAACAUAAAUACUUCAUCAUUUUACGCCGUUUCGCCCUACUAACAUGCUCCAUCUGUCCCCCUUUGGAUGCACUUUUGGAAAUAUCGCAGUCUUUGGAGGUCUCUUGACCUGAACGUUUGGAGUCUUGAUCGGUUAUAAGAGAGACUGUUCACAAAUCACACACUAAGCACACAGUCGACCGAAUCGAAAACCAAGAAAAUAACAGAAGAGAAAAAGGCGUGAUACCUGAAGUGGCAGGGCGUAUGAACACUUCUGUUGACUUUAAAGGUGCGGAAAGGUUAAACUUGACACUCGAAUCUUUAAUGUCAUUCUCUAUUUCUUGUAAAAGGGCCACUGAGUCAAAGUAUUCAUCUGAAGUCAUGGUCAAACAGCUUGAGUUGGCGGAACUGGAAGAGCGUGAUCCUGGAUCGAUAAGAUCGUUUAACUCAAUAUAGUCUCCCCUCAAAAUACAAUCCAUUUCGGAUGACUGUUUAAGAAUGGAAUCUGGAGUCAUUCCCUACAAAACAUAUGUAAAUUUUUCAAAAUUCUGUGCAUGUUUACAAAUGAGAGAGCAAAGAACUCACCACAAGUUCACUCAUUGCAACCGUUUUUGGCGCUAAAUUUAUGGACAUUUUGACAUCAGUAUUAGCCAAAUAUACUCUACAUAAUGCUCUAAGAUCCUGCAUAUCGUUUAACCAAGCCGGUCACAACUUUCGAAAUCCAAAAUGCUCAAAUCAACGCAAUGGGCCUAAUAGAUAGCCUGCUUACCUUUGUAUUGUUGUCACAUUUCUCGGUUAUUGUAUAUUCUUGCAUCAUCCAAUCCGUCUUUCGGCUAUGCGAGGCCCGACCCUCAUAAAACCGAAGGGUCGUUCUUGAACCAGUGAUAGCUGAGUUGGAAAAUAUCUCACGAGGCUCCUCGGUUUCCUGCCAGAAUCCACACUCAGCAUCCGUUUUUACCCCGGCCCACAAGUACCACAAACCAGCUGCAGUUUACAGUUCCUUUGGUAAGAUUAAGACAAGAUAUAGUAUACACGAAUUAUGUUAUAUGGAUCGUAUACUAACCAGGUAGAUUUGAGGGCCUAUGUUGAUAAGGAUUUACAUCUGAAGUUACGUUUUCGGGCAAAGGUUUUCCCCUCUUGAAGUUAAACAAUGACGUAAAUAUCGCCUCAUUGGUCCAGUUUUCGUUUUCAGCUGGAAGUGGAAUGCAUGAUGAAGGAGGACACAUUUGAGCUUAUGUUCAAGAUGAACACAAUCUUGAUUCAAAUCUGUUGCUACAUGAAAUAAGACAACGGUUUUGAUUCGAUAUUUUUCUGACCCCAGAAAUUAUAUGAUUCAGAUCAAUGGUUCAUAUGCUUGAAAUGGUACUUAUUCGCCCUAAAAGAAAGAUCAACAAAACCCUAAAAAGUCAACAUGUUACCUUAACUUGAGGAAAACUAGUACCAGAAUUCAAUGAUUCAUAUUUUUAGCAUAACAGUACAAACAAGAUCAUGAACCAGAUAAACAAACAACUGAAUCAAAAAGCCCGAUAAAGAACUGAAUCAAAAAGUGGUCUUGUUGUAGGUGAAACAUGUUCCACUUUCCCAGUAUUGACUUAUUUUUUAUGGUCAAACUGACCUAUUCAGAUAUACCAAAGUCUAAGUGACAACUCACUACUACAAAAUUGGGCAAUUGUGACCAAAAUUUGCCACCGAGAAAACAAGUGGCAAAAUUAGCAACCGAUUUGCCACCAAAAUUUAAAAGGUCACGUACAACCUAUAUUCAGUAUCAAAAUGGUGGCAAAAUUUGCUACCUUAAAUUUUCAGUAGCAAAUUAGUGGGAAACAUGAUAAAAACCAAUAAAAAAAUUAAUUAAAUGAAAAACACAUUAAAUUGUGACCGGAUUUAUGGUAGCAACAUGAAAAUCUAAUUUGGCAGGCCAAUUUUACGAAUCCCUGCAUCUCAAAUGUUAGGUAGCGGUUUUUAUAAAGAUAACUCCUCUCUCCAACAUUUACUGCCCUACAUCGUACAGCUCCGAUCUCUUUUGAUCGUCAUGGUUACAGGUUCAUCAAAAUCUCUAACCCUAAACUCACUCCUAAUCCCGCUUCAUCAAAAUCUCUCUCCACCCCACCAUCAGAUGAACCAGCCCCUCUACCACGGUUCGACUCGUUGCCGUUGACUAACCAAUGGACUACUACAGGUGCUACAAUGUACCAUUGGCCAAGCUACUACUCUCUGCGGUUGCAAUUUGAAGUUAUGCCACUUUGAAGGUAUUUUUUUACUCCGCAUUCCAACCUUUGUGUUUUACCGUGAGUGCUAGAAUUUAUGAUGAAUCUUGAUCUGUGCUUUAAUUUUGGGGUUUAGUUUAAGAUAAUGUAUGUAAUAUUGUAAUUAGUGAUGUUUAGAUUAAAUGCCUACCAAGUGUUUGAUGAAAUGUAUGUGUUAGUUUUUUCCUCUAGUUUUAUUCACCAUUGUGCAGAUAACUUGGUUAUUAUCUGUAGUUGAUGAUAACAUGUUUGGUGAUAGUUUUUCCCCACACAAAUAAAACAUAAAUUGAAUCGACCCAUUUGUAUAUAAAGGGGUCAAUGUCAAAGUUGCCAGCUCAUAUCAGCAGUUACAUAUGCAGGCUCAUCAUGAAUCAUGAUUAGGUAAACAAGUAUGGAUCUUAUAGUGAUCAAAUCUAGCAACCAAACCACACUAACCAACACACCUUAAUACCUCUGCUAGGCUACAAGCCCUUUGGUGGUUCUGGUUCUAUUGAAUCGAACUUUUAGAGCCAAUAUCAUACAUAUAAGCAGUAAAGGGGUUGACCCAAACACGAAUUUUCAAGGUAAAUCUAAGUUCAUCUACCUAUUUCUAUCUUUAAUUAAUUGCUUAUUUAUCAUAUGAUUCUGAUUCCCGGAAGUCUGAUCACUUUAAGGACACAUCCAAACAGAAGUUACUUGCAUAUAAUAUCUAGAUAUUUUGAUUAGUGGGUCUAGUAAUAAGCACUUCGACAAUCUGACAUUCAAACACCCUCAUCAUGUAAGAUCCUAACCAGUGGCGGAGCUUGACCAAAAGUUUCGAGGGGGCGUAAAGUGAUGGGACCCAAAAUUUUUUUUCCUAUCGUUAUGCUUCGAGUCGGGUCGGGUUGGCUAUUCGAUUCAAAUCGUGUUAAAUAAUAAUAGUUCCAAAUAAAACAAAGUGUAUAUUUAACAAACUACCCAUCAUUUAUAUACAAAGUUUAUAAAUAUUUAGGAUAUACAAUUUUGGAAAAAUAAUCGGGGGGGCGAUCCUAUAUAAUUUUAAAAUUUUCGGUUGAAAAAUCGGAACUUGUACACUUCUAACCGAAAUAUUGGGGUGGGCGGAUGCACCCCCGGACACCCAUAACUGAUCCUAACCAUAAUUCAAACACCCUCAUCUUGUGUAUGAUGACGUAUACAAUCAUGUGUAUACCAUAUUUUAUAAGCAAACAAUAUUAUAAAUUGUAACAGAUGAUCUGGUGCUCAUAAAGAACAAGUCUACCAAAAAGCAUGUAUGAGAUGCCAUCUUGUUAUUUGUAAAUUUUCUCUAACUGCAUUUUGUUUGUAUUAAGGUUAGGAUCUGGUAAUUUUAGAGUUGUGAGAUUGAUGAGGAACCUGGGUUUUAAAAAGCACGCCUGAGGCGCAUCAAGGCGCAGAUCUGGGCGCCUCAGGUAGCCCGAGGCGCGCUUUUUACAAGAAGCCCCAAAAAAGCGCAUUUUUGGGGGUGUUUUCAGGCCUGAGGCGCGCGCCUCAUCUACAUAGGCUGUUUUUAAGCAUCAAACUGUUGUACAAUAGGUUUUUUUGGCUUGUACUUAUGCGUAAAAUCAUAUAUAAACCUUAUUUAUAGCUAUAUUUUGAAUAAAGGAUGCUAAAAACUUCUGAAAUAUAUAUAAAAAGUUAUAUAAUCACUUUGCGCCUCGGGUACGAAAAGCUCACCGCUUUUGCGCUUUGCGCUUCGCGCCUUGGUUUUAGACCUCGUCGCUUUUGUGCGCCUCUCGCUUUUUAAAACCAAGUGAGGAACAAGGUUACCACUUACCAAAAAGCUUGUUGCUAUGGUAUACAUGAUUUUCUCUGUAUCUUUUAUCUUAAUUUUAACAAUUUCGGUGUUCAUAUUACAAUAUAUUGUUACAGAACUAUAUGCAUUGCACAACCUAAAUGCUCAUGUUUCCGCAUUAGAUUUUAUUCAUCUGAAACUUAAGUUGCGGGCUUAAUUGUAAUCUUGGUAUUUUUUUUUGCCUGUAGAUUCAUAGUUGUUAAUAGCGGCUAUAGAGACCGCUAUAGCGCGCUAUGUAGCCAUGCGACGUAGUGUCGCUAUAUGGGUCAUAGCAACAAAUAGCGAUGAUAGCGAUUGUUUUUUUUUUUUAUGUAAAUAGCAUUUAGAUAUAGCCAUAAAAUAGCUGGAUUUAUAGGUUUUUGUUAUUGAGCUCAACUCGUCAUGUUUUUCUGAAGCUCGACUUGAGCUCGUUUUAGUAUUUUUAGAGUUUUAACAUCUUCAUUGAACUUUUACAAUUGCAAACACAGGUAGACGAUAAGUACCAAUACUCGACUGUAACGAGUUUCGUAAUGGUGGCCCGGUCAAGCAAGACCUCACCUCUCAUGCUGGUCCUAUUACUCUCUUCAUGUUUCUGAACUCGGUUACAACAGAAGAAAGUCUCCUUUCCCUUUGGGAUGAUGUCAAAGAAGAGGAAGUAAGAUCAGAAUGGGUCUGCUUGUGCACAAACCACCAAGAAAUGGCCCUACAGUUUUGGAGAUUGGUGUCCCAGAUCGCACCGCUGUUAAUGAAAGGAAGAAAAGAAAAGGAUUGAAAAGUUGAACUUAGUUAUAAGGAGCUCAUUAAGGAAAAUGAUGAAGAAAAAGAAAGAUUAAAUUGGAUUAUUGCGGGGUUGUUGGAUGGAAAAGAAAAAGAUAAGGUGGAUAAAGAUACUAUGCUCGAUAGGAUGUCACAAAUUGAAGCUAUGUUAACAAGUACAAUUCGAAGAUAGGCUACAAACACUUGGUUUUAAAUGUUUCGAUGUUUAUCAUAUUAGGAUAAUUUUAGUUAUCUGAAGUUUUAGCUGGUAUUUCUAUUAGAAUGUUUUAUAUGCUUUUGAUACAGAGAUGUUUUAUAUAAUUUUGGGUUUUGGU